UUUGAGAAUUUCGGGUUUUUUGGGUGGAAUUUUGAGAAUUUUGGGGUUUUUUGGGUGGAAUUUUGGGAAUUCUGGGGUUUUGGGGGUGGAAUUCCGGGAAUUUCCGGGUGGAAUUUUGGGAAUUUCGGGGUCUCCCCCCCAGGUCCGCCAGCCGCUCCGGGGAGAGGAAGAAGAGCAAGAAGAAGAAGCACAGGUCCGAAUCCGAGGCCAAGAAGCGAAAGCACCGCUCGCCCAGCCCCAAGGCCAAGCACAAGGCCAAGGAGAAGAAGCGCAAGCGGUGAGCCCCUCCCCCUUCUUUAGCCCCUCACCCCUUGCCCAUCCCCCUCUGACCCCGCUCCGCCCCUCCCCCCGCCCGCAGGUCCACCAGCCAAUCGCAGAAGCCGGAGCGCUCUUCCUCCCCGGCCGGCUCCUCCUCCUCCUCGGGCUCCUCCCGCAGCAGGUGAGACCCCCCGGAAA
Molecule: long non-coding RNA, 456 nt
Filed under: Lonchura striata (white-rumped munia)
Lineage: Eukaryota; Metazoa; Chordata; Aves; Passeriformes; Estrildidae
Description: domestica (Bengalese finch) lncRNA (ENSLSDG00000010815.1)
Source: RNAcentral